AAUGAACGCUGGCGGCGUGCCUUAUACAUGCAAGUCGAGCGAACGGACGAGAAGCUUGCUUCUCUGAUGUUAGCGGCGGACGGGUGAGUAACACGUGGAUAACCUACCUAUAAGACUGGGAUAACUUCGGGAAACCGGAGCUAAUACCGGAUAAUAUUUUGAACCGCAUGGUUCAAAAGUGAAAGACGGUCUUGCUGUCACUUAUAGAUGGAUCCGCGCUGCAUUAGCUAGUUGGUAAGGUAACGGCUUACCAAGGCAACGAUGCAUAGCCGACCUGAGAGGGUGAUCGGCCACACUGGAACUGAGACACGGUCCAGACUCCUACGGGAGGCAGCAGUAGGGAAUCUUCCGCAAUGGGCGAAAGCCUGACGGAGCAACGCCGCGUGAGUGAUGAAGGUCUUCGGAUCGUAAAACUCUGUUAUUAGGGAAGAACAUAUGUGUAAGUAACUGUGCACAUCUUGACGGUACCUAAUCAGAAAGCCACGGCUAACUACGUGCCAGCAGCCGCGGUAAUACGUAGGUGGCAAGCGUUAUCCGGAAUUAUUGGGCGUAAAGCGCGCGUAGGCGGUUUUUUAAGUCUGAUGUGAAAGCCCACGGCUCAACCGUGGAGGGUCAUUGGAAACUGGAAAACUUGAGUGCAGAAGAGGAAAGUGGAAUUCCAUGUGUAGCGGUGAAAUGCGCAGAGAUAUGGAGGAACACCAGUGGCGAAGGCGACUUUCUGGUCUGUAACUGACGCUGAUGUGCGAAAGCGUGGGGAUCAAACAGGAUUAGAUACCCUGGUAGUCCACGCCGUAAACGAUGAGUGCUAAGUGUUAGGGGGUUUCCGCCCCUUAGUGCUGCAGCUAACGCAUUAAGCACUCCGCCUGGGGAGUACGACC
RNAcentral lists this ribosomal RNA (878 nucleotides) under uncultured Staphylococcus sp. RNAcentral describes it as "bacterial SSU rRNA". It matches the Rfam family "Bacterial small subunit ribosomal RNA", at positions 28 to 887 of the family's 1533-position model. Lineage: Bacteria; Bacillati; Bacillota; Bacilli; Caryophanales; Staphylococcaceae. The record is from RNAcentral.